CACUGGCUUUGAAAUACACUGACUGCUCCAUUACCUUCGGCUGUGGUCCGUCUAGAUACAAACCUUUCCACCACUGGACCACAGCUGAAACAAAAACUAGAGUUUCCAGGACCUACCACUUUCCAAAACACCCUUUUCCUUACUGUUGAGAAUACGUGUGCUGCAGAUAGCUCGAUAGCACCGGAGGACUAGCUCGGGCUGUUUCUCUCGUGCUGCACCGUCAAUAAAUGAGAUAUCUGAGACUUAUAUGGUAAACCCAGUCUGACUGUGUGAGUGGGGUGUGGGGAGAUCAGCGGCGAUACAUCGGGUCACUGAAGCCGCCGCUGCAAAGGUGGAUUCGAAUGUCAGCAGUGACAGCUCUGGUGCUGGAAAAUGGCUGCCAGGUAGCCUCCUAAAUGGUCACAUUGGGAAGUUCGCCAAACAUUUCCGCUUUCACUGAAGUCAGUUAUAAAGUUUCCGUUUUUUGUACACAGAAUCAGGCUAAGUCAGGAGACUGGUUAAAAAACCUACCCCGCCUAAAUUUGUUACGUUCGAACUAGCCCCUCGCUCGCGCCCAAAUGCCACCGACCACCCACAGGAGAAAGGCAGCGCCCAUGAAAGAGAUGGAGCGACACGGAGGGAAGUGGAGGGGCUUCCGCUUCCGGCGGCCGCGCUGACGGUGGCGGGGUCCGGCUGCACUGCGCGGCAGUGUUGGGUGUCAGGCAGGAGGACAUGCGGUCGCCGGCGCUGCCGUGGUUCCUGGUGGGGCCGCUGCUGGUGUCGCUGUUGCUGCUGGAGGCCGCCCGCUGCGGGGAGGCUGCGGCCCCGCGCCCCCGGGACGCGGCCACCGCUUCCCCGCGCCCCACGGAGGCGGCCGGCGGGGCCGCCACGCGGAGCAGCAGCGGCAGCAGCCGCCUAGCCGAGGUGUCGGCGCAGCCCGAGCAGGGCCAGCCCAUGACCCAGCGCGCCCUGUCCGUGCUGGUGCUGGCCAGCGCCGCCCUUAUCGUCUACUUCGUGAUCCGGACCGUGCGGCUUAGAGGGCAAAACAGAAAAACCCGAAGAUACGGAGUUUUGGAUACAAACAUAGAAAACAUGGAGCUGACCCCAUUAGAACAAGAUGAUGAUGAUGAUGAUACAACACUAUUCGAUGCCAGCCAUCCUCGGAGAUUGAGUUCCUGCAGAUUGAGUGGGUGCCUCUCCCAUGAUAGAUGUCUCUUGAAAUUCUGCUUGGUGAAAGGUCUGCCUUAUCUACCUCCAUCUUGUCAGACAUGCCAGCAUACUGCCUCAUGAGAUGUGUGUGGCUGUUGAAGGAGUGCACCCUCAGCAAGUUCAUAGACAACGCCAAGCUGAGAGGGAGUGUUGAUCUGCUGGAGAGCAAGAAGGUUCUGCAGAGGGAUCUGGAUAGGCUGGAUUGAUGGCCUGAGGCCAGCUGGAUGAGUUUCAACAAGGCCAAGUGCUGGGUCCUGCCCUUGGAUCACAACAAUCCCUGGCAGUUCUACAAGCUGUGACAGUGACUGGAAGGCUGCCUAGGGAAAAGGGCCUGGGAUUGCUGGUGAGCAGUAGCUGAGCAUGAGCCAGCCAUGGUGGCCCAGGUGGCCAAGAAGGCCAGUGGCAUACUGGCCUGAAUCAGCAACAGUGUGGCCAGCAGGACCAGGGCAGUAUCCCUGUACUCAGGACUGGUGAGGUCACAUUUUGAGUGCUGGAUUCAGUUCUGGGCCCCUCAAUUCAGGACACUGAGGUGCUGAAGUGAGUCCAGAGGAGGGCAAUGAAGCUGGACAAGGACCUGGAGCAUCUGGAGCACAAAGAAGGGUUCGAUGAAGAGAAACUGAGGAAAUUUGGGUUGUUUACCCUAAAGAAAAGGAGGAUCAGGAGGGAAUUAUCACCCUGUACAAGAACCAGAAAGGAGAUUGUAGCCUGGUGAGGAUCAGCCUCUUCUCCUAGGGAAGAAUGGUGGAAAUAUCAUCAUCUCUUGAUAAAUUUACAAAGUCAGAUUUUAGAGCUUUGUAGAAGAAAUGCACCCAAUUCUUAUAUCAACACACCUGAAGAAAAUCAGAGAUGAGGUUUUUCAAGGUGGUUCAAUCUGUCUUGCUCUGACACUUUUUCUUGCUGUAUUGUCUCACUGCAAUUUUGAUGAUUGUCUGUCAUACUGUAAUUCCUACAGCAAGAUCAGAUGCUCUUUGCUUUAACUUUAUGGCAUUGGAGCAUAUCAUAGCUGAAGAUUUUUUCUCCUUGUGCCUCUCUGCCAUGUCACUGUUAUACCCCCUUGGAAGAGAAUUCAGGUUUGGACAGCCUGUUACCCACUUUGCAUGAAUAAUACCUAAGGAUAUGUUUUGUGCUCAGGUUUGACUAACUGCUACUGUAGGAACUUGGGUAAUUAGUUUUAGAAUUUAAUAAUUUCCCCAGAGUUUGUGAAGAAGUUCAAGCUGUGACUUCAAUCAUCAAGUAGAUAAAAUAGGGUGGCAAAAUCAAAGGUGCACAUUUGGGAAUGCGAACUUAGAAAUUCUGAACCCUGAGCCAUACAGCCAGAAGUACCCUUGGAGACUUUCAGAGCUGUCAGUUCUCAGACCUCCUUUUAAACACAAUUUUCAAAAAAGUAGAUUCCAAACAAAAUCUAAACAAAGAAAAGAUGGAACAUUAUAUAUCAUUAUACUCAGAAUGAAGUAGUUAUUAUGGAGAGUUUCUUACAGAAGUGUACCCUUCAAUCAAUGUUUACAGUCACAAAUGUGAUGGAAAUUCAAAGCGGACACUUGCUUACCACUUACCAGAACAUCCCUUGAUUAUGAUGUCAGACUUCAAAGGAAGUAAUUUGCUACUUAACAUAUAAUUAAAGUUGAUAGCCUGACAAUUUGCCACAGGAUGUCAUGCCUGAAAAACAUACAGGCUUAACAAAUUAAGAAACCAAAAGCACAUAGAUACAGGAUAACCACCAGAAAAAGAGUCUUAGUAGACUUUCUAAAAGGGAAACUUUCUGAAUAAUGUUUUUUGGAGACAAAGAAAAUAUUCUCCGUAAGUGCCUCUUCCUACUCUCCUUCUCUACUGCUUUGGUUAUAUCUGAGAUGACAUAUCUGAGCAGAAACUGCUUUGAUCUUCUUUUCUUAAGGCUAAGAUAUCACAGAAAGGGCAUAUUUGUUGUGAAUGGGAAGGAGAACAUUCGCUGGAAAUAGCAAGAAACCUGGAGGUGAGAUUUUGUUGCAAGAGUGUCUACUGUUCACUGCAAAAGCAUGGAGAAAUCUUAGAACUUGUUGAGAUCAAUAGUGACUGCUCAGACUUACAGAGCCAUUUAAAGCACAUACUUAAACAUCUUAGUAAAGGACAGAAGAAUUACAAACAGCAACUUCAGUUUCAUUAUCCAUAAGCUUUAGUUCAGGUUGAAAUCAAUUUAUUUACCUCCUAGAAAGAAAUGAAAGAAUGGAAUGGAAUAUUGAAAUACAGAACUCUAUACAAACUGAAAUAUAAAAUGCAAAUGUUUCUAAUAAUGGGCUAAAAUUUUAAAGACUUGAAUUUUCUUAGGUGUCUGUUCAAAUUGUAAUUCUAACGCUGCAUUCUACUGUUUCAAUUUGUUUAUUUGUGUUUUUGUUGUUGGUUGGGGGUUUGUUUGUUUGUUUUGGUUUUUUUAUUUUUUCAAAUAAAUAACUUCAGUUUUUGUAUUUGAAUCAAAACUCUAAAAGCAAUUUAAAAUCUGAAAUAAAGUUUUCCAUUUGUUUAUGCAGUAAGGAAACUUCGGAAUAAUUAGUUCAUUAGAUAUAAAAAAUACACUAGAAAAUUAAUAUUUAAACAGUAUCUGUCUUUUAUUUUUAACUUUUGAUAAAGGUUGUGAAGAAAUGUAUUGAUAUAGAGGAUAUUACAACAAUCCAUUUUAAAAUUAUGGGCUUCAUUAAAAUGUAAUUGAUUUCAGUAAUUUUUGCAGCCCCCAGAUCAAAAGCAAUGAUGCUAACAGGUUAGGACCUACUCUCCAAAAGAAGAAAUUAUUAUUUUAUUAUUAUUACAAAAAUGCAUUAAAAUGAACAUACACCCAAAGAACUCUGCAAAAACACAACCAAAGAGAAACACAAACCCAAAUAAAACAAUUAAAACCAAUUGGCUUUUAUGCAUUGGGAAUAAAUUUAUAUUAUUCUGUCUUUUCUAUAUGUAAGGGCAUUUAUAGAAAUCAUCUAAGAUAUAUUCACCAAAUACAAUGGUGAAUUGAAAAGAGUAAGUCAGUGAAAGACCUACCAUACAGAACCUUUCACAAAUUACUCAGUUCAUGACACAAAUGAAAUUUAUUAAACUUUCUCAUUUAAUCUUGCUUGGAGUAAUGAUAGAGAAUAUACAGUCUCAAAACAAAUUAAAGGGAAAUUCUAAACAACAGCAAAGCCUAAUGAGCUUUAAGCAGUAUUUGCAGAUCUAUGUUAGGGGAAUGUUUGAAAUUUUUAUUUUAACACAUGCAGUGUUAAAUUUGUGAAGGCAAUGCAACUUGCUCAAAGGAAAUAUUCCUGUGCCCAAACUAAAACCAGGAUCUAUAUCCUGUAAUACAGAAACAGCUAUAAAUUACAGCAUGUCAUUUUUUUUCUUAUUCGCUCUACAACUAACAUCAGCAGAGACAGUAGUAGGAAAAAAGUGAGCUGUAGAAGUGGAACUCAAUGUCUUGCCAGUAUUGCAGCCACGCACAAUGUGCAUUUCCUUCCCCAAGCCCAAGUCAGAUCCAGCUAUUCCUGAACCCCUGAUCAAACACACCAAGGCUGUAAGGUUGUUCUUUGAGGCCCCUUCUUGAAUAAUGCCAAAGCGUUAGAGCUUGGGUUGUUUUAAUUACAAAAAAUUGUCAGGAUAAAGCCUUUUCUCUCCAACUUUGUUUUGAACCCUGUUCUACAGGAGAAUAUUAAAUGUCUGUCAUUUAUGUAGAGAAUACCAUAGCAGCUGCAGCUAGAAACUGGCUGAGACAGAAAUCAGGGAUUUGAUCCUUAUGACAGAAGUGAGAGGAUAGAAAUACUGCCAGCUGUUUUCUGCAGCACUUUGUGUACUCCGUGCAUACAAUUUGACAUACAAUCUCUAAGAAAAACAGCAACAAAAUAAAUCAAUUUACUGGUAUGAAAUACUUACCAAAAAAUAUUUUCUAUACCAACUAUUUUGAGCUAUUGGAAUUAUGUUAUAUAUAUAAAGGUUUUGAAACUAAAGAUUAAAACCUAGUUGUAUUUCUUUGAUGAUUUUAUGACAGGACCAAAAUGAUCUUUCUUUAAGGUGCAAUGACCUUUUUGUUUGUUUUCAUUUUAGUGGAUUUUAACUUGGACUAGUGAGUAUAUAUAAUGUAAAAAAAGAAAAAGAGAGGGUUUAGACAUUGGAGCUAUGUUUGAACAAAACAUGUUUGAGCCUGUAACAGGAUGACAACGAACCAUUAAUGGCUUUCUUUAGAAACUUACACUUUUCUGUGCAAUCUUGCUUUUAGGAGGAGUGAACUUCUGAAACCUAACUCCUAAGUAUCUCCUUUCAUCAUACUUUAGUUCACACUGUGAAUGGCUGUCCUGGUUUGGAGGACAGGUGUCUGCCAAGAAAAGCAAACAUUCUGUUUGAAAUGGAGAAUGUAAACCCCCUCCCUCCAAAUUAUUAUAAUUUUGAAAUUAAGGGACUCUCAGGCAAAGAUAUGGGAAAUCUGAUUAACCGUUCUUUACUAGGAAAAUUAAUACAGAAAUACAAUAUUACAAAGAACAAUCCCAAAACCACUGACAGAAUCAAAAUAUAACCUGACACUCUGUCAGUCAGGGUGUUGGUAGCAGUCUGAUUCAAUGGUGGCUACAGUCCUCCUGCAGUGGCAGGUGUGGUUUAAUUGAAGCAGCGGUCCUGUAAAAGAGUGCAGUUUUCCUCUGAAGGUCCAGGGAUGAUGUGGAAAGGCCCAGCUUUCCUCUGGAAUCCAGUGGAAAGAAGGCUGCCUUGGUGUUCAAAAUCUCAGUUUUUAUCCGUGUAGGAAAGGAUUGUCUCCUCCCCCUGACUGGAGCAUCUCCCAGUGGAAUGAUGUAAUUUUAUCAGUCAUACAGUGGGACUUAAUGGGCCACCAGCAGAUGAUAUCUUACUGGAAGGAGGAUGGGUUCUGGAAAGUAUAAAAGAUGAUUGCCCCACCUAGUUUUAAAGAUGGCCCAUUAGCAGAUAAUAUGUGCCACGGAGAUAAGGGUCACUGCCCCGCCCGGCUUCAACAGAUGGUGAUAGCAUACACAUUUCUGGUCACAUGCUGUAUUGCAACCCAAGACAAUGACAAGAUGAAAACUUGUGCCCACAUGUAUGAUCCCACAGGACACAUGUAUUCCGGAAAUGCACCUGUUGGGCUUCAGCUACAGGUGGUCAUUCAGUCAUUGGAACUACAAUAGAACCUGGCAUGGAGACUGGCAGUGGUGUCUCAGCAUUAAUUUCUUUUCCUGUAUAAAAGUCCUUCUAUUUGCUAAGGUAAACACAACCUUAAAGCAAGUCAUCUGCUAGAGGGAAAAAUAAAAAUAAUAAACUACCUACACCAUCUAUAUUAGAUGCUGACUCUUUUCUGAAGCAGAAUACAUUAUCCAGGAAACCUCUUUCCUGAAUCAGGAGGGUUGAAAAAGACAACUGGACAGCUUCAGAUAAUAAUACAGUGCAUCAGGGUUUUAAAACCUCUGUUAAAUGGCAAAUCUAACAGAAAUAUGAACAAUGUAAAAAAUCAAUUAAGUGUAAUUGAUGUGCAUAUUCUUCAGUUAUGGCAGUCUAUUUUUAUACAGGGCUCAUAAAGAAUAUUAAUUUUCCUCUGGGUAUAGAAAAGUUUGGGGUUUUUUGUUGUUGUUUGUUUGUUUGUUUGUUUGUUUGUUUUGGGGGGGUUAUUAUUUUUUUUUUUCUUUUUUGUCUGUCUGGGUUUUUGUGGUUUUGUUUCUUUGUUUGUUUAUUGGGGGCUGGGUGUUGAGUGGUUGGUUUUUUGUGGGUUUUUUGGCAGCACUUUAAAAAUUAAUUCUUGUAGUUCCACCAAGGCUUUUCACAACAAUACUUAUUCUUAGAGGCUGUUUGUUUCUCUGAAAUUGAAGAAGCUGGAAACGAAAAGGAAAUAUAUAAGCCAGACACUCAGAUGCCUGAACAUUAGAACAGAAUUUGCAUGGCUGCAAAUGCACAUGAAAUGGUUUAAAACACUAUUCAAAAAUGCCACCCUCUGCAUAUGACUAUCCGUAGUUAAUGGACAACUAGAGCUCUGACAUGGGUAUCGGGUCUCUCCACAGUGCUCAGAUUCACUCCUCUUGCCUGGUUUGUUCAAUUAGCUCUGUUGGGAGAUUGCAAAAUGCAAGGAGGAAGUCCUGAACAGUCAUCUGAAGGAACAUGACAGUGACAAGUUCAGAUAUGUAAUUUCGGCUCUUUUCUGUGUCAAUUCAUAGCACCUGGAGGGAAGCUGCUUGAUAAUGAAAGAGGACCUAGAAAUAUUUUUCUCUUCUUCAUUCUGAAAAGUGUCAGUUGUUUGUUUUCUUGCCUGUUUAAUGCUCAAUAACUAAAUCCUUGCUGUAUCAGGCAAUAAGACCCAAGUAUCUCUUUCCUUAUUCAGGAAAUGACUGAAAAAAUAUCCAGGAUUUUUCACUCUCCUAGGCUUUUCAACGCCCCACACAAAGUAGGAACUUGGCAUGAGUCUGGACUUCAAUGCAUGCCAUUGUCUUCAUAUCUGUCAGGCCCAAUAAGAGUUUCUGUCACAUUCAGAUUCAGAAAGCAAUGGCAGAGUGGAAGUGGGGGCAGAGAGGAACCUGUGGGCUCUAAUUUUCCUGCGCAAAAGAAGAAAUGGCAAAAGGGAAAUGGUACAGCUGUUUAGAAAUGCUUACAAAAAGGUAUUUGUUGUUUCCAGAAUUAUUAAUGGAGAAAGUCCAGGCAUAAAUAUCUGACUUCAGAAGGGAAUUCAAGACUUCAAGUGAUAAACCUCUGAGAUUAUCUGGAGGUAGACAUGACUGCAGUCUUUCAUCCCAGGGGUUUUGUUUGGCUGUUUGGACAAUUCCUCGUUUCCUGCCUUGGCUGUUGUGGACCACCUUCUGAGAUAUUUAUAUUGUUUGACUCAUCUAGCCACCACUAAAUGACUACAUCAGUGGAUAAGGAAAGGCCUUGUAGACCUCGCUAAACAUCUCUAAGACCUUUGAUAUAUUCCCCUGCAACAUUCCUACCUCUAAGCUGGAAAGAUACGGGUUUGGUGUGGAAUCAGAGUGUCUUGAUUUGUUUGUUUGAGGAAGGUGUUUGUUAAGGAAGGCAGGAACUUCCCUUGGAAUGAAAAAUAUUACCCCCUUUCCUCUGAAUUAUUAUAGGUUUGAAAUUAAGAGGCUUUUAGACAAAGAUAUUGGAAAAGCAAUAAUAGCUAUUUACUAGUAUGUAUGUGUAUAGCAACAAUGGCAGAAGCAGCAAACGAAGAGCCAGAAAACCCAAUGAAGCCUCUUCCUGCUAAGCAUUUUUCCCUUGGUGCAGUUCCCAUCACAGCUGGCAGGGGCGCCACUGGCUCCUGGUGGGCAGGGCAAAUGCGAUGAUUCCCCCGUGGCUGCAGGGGGCGCUGUGGCAUGGGCUCAGCUGUGCCUCCCUCUCGUGGUAAUGGCAGGUGGGCUGGAGGGUGAGGUGGGCUGCAGCAGAAUCCUCAGAGCAGAGGCUGGCAGUGCAGUGGCAGGCACGGCCCCUGCGGUGGCAAAUAAAAAUGCAACAGGGAACUCUACAGACUUAGCAGGAGCUGUGGGCACUGGGUGGACGCGGGUGCUGAGUUGGAGUGUAGCAAUAAAGCCCGAGGCAGUGGCACAAAGCAGCCGUGCUGAGUACUGGCAGCCAGGCUUCUCUGUAGGCACACAGCUGUUCUUCUUCCACUGCAGCACACAGCUGGGUAGAUGCGCCCUCUGGGAAGGGGCAGGAGACUCAGGGUCCUGGCUUUUCCUCUGAAACACCCCAAGAGAUGGUGAGAGUCCUUUCCAGUAAGAUUGGGUGUUAAUAAGGUUGCAGUGCUCUUACAAGCAAUGGCUCACCCUGAGUUAGGAAGAAGCUGUACAGGACUGGGCUCUGUGGUGACAGUGGAUUCUCCCUGUGGUAAGCAACAGUUUGACCAUCCUACUCUGAUCCCAAGGGCCAGUGAGGGAGAAAAGAGCCCAGCCAAAAUCUUGUGGUAUCUCUGCCCUUCUAGAGAGAAAACCCCUCAGGUCAGAGAGUAGUCAGCUGCA
RNA transcript from Oenanthe melanoleuca, 9119 nucleotides. It is a transcript of the gene named family with sequence similarity 174 member A, with no coding region annotated. The transcript has 5 exons. Lineage: Eukaryota; Metazoa; Chordata; Aves; Passeriformes; Muscicapidae. The record is from RefSeq and is a predicted model, not a curated record.